GAUGAACGCUGGCGGCGUGCCUAAUACAUGCAAGUCGAGCGAACGGACGAGAAGCUUGCUUCUCUGAUGUUAGCGGCGGACGGGUGAGUAACACGUGGAUAACCUACCUAUAAGACUGGGAUAACUUCGGGAAACCGGAGCUAAUACCGGAUAAUAUUUUGAACCGCAUGGUUCAAAAGUGAAAGACGGUCUUGCUGUCACUUAUAGAUGGAUCCGCGCUGCAUUAGCUAGUUGGUAAGGUAACGGCUUACCAAGGCAACGAUGCAUAGCCGACCUGAGGGGGUGAUCGGCCACACUGGAACUGAGACACGGUCCAGACUCCUACGGGAGGCAGCAGUAGGGAAUCUUCCGCAAUGGGCGAAAGCCUGACGGAGCAACGCCGCGUGAGUGAUGAAGGUCUUCGGAUCGUAAAACUCUGUUAUUAGGGAAGAACAUAUGUGUAAGUAACUGUGCACAUCCUGACGGUACCUAAUCAGAAAGCCACGGCUAACUACGUG
RNAcentral lists this ribosomal RNA (497 nucleotides) under uncultured bacterium. Its description in RNAcentral is "partial 16S ribosomal RNA". It matches the Rfam family "Bacterial small subunit ribosomal RNA", at positions 28 to 507 of the family's 1533-position model. The record is from RNAcentral.